AAGUAGAUAAGGGCGUGUGGGGAAUGCCUUGGCUCUCAGAGACGAUGAAGGACG
RNAcentral lists this ribosomal RNA (54 nucleotides) under Alexandrium margalefii. RNAcentral's name for it is "partial Bacterial large subunit ribosomal RNA". The record is from RNAcentral. Lineage: Eukaryota; Dinophyceae; Gonyaulacales; Pyrocystaceae.